CAAAUUUCUUCAAUAUAAAAAUUGAUUUUUGUGUCAGUUUUGUAACCUACAACUGAAUUUAUUACUUCUAACUGUUUUUUUGGGGAGUCCUCAGGAUUUUAUGUCUAAUACCAUGUUAUUUGCAAAUGUGAUGAUUUUACUUCUUCCAUUCUGACUUGAAUGCCUUUUAUUUCUUUUUCAUGCCUAAUUGUUUUUACUAGGGCUUCUGGUACUAUGUUGAAUAAAAGUGGCAAGUGUAGACAUCCUUUAUUUUUUCUUGAUCGUAGAGAAAAUCUUUAAGCUUUUCACUGUUUAGUAUGAUGUUAGCUGUGGGUUUGCCAUAUAUAUGCUGUAUUAAGCUGAGGUAUGAUCCCUCCAAACACAGUUUAUUGAGAGUUUUUAUCUGGAAUAGAUGUUGAAUUUUGUCAAAUGCUUUUUGUGCAUUUUUUGUUAAUUUGGUGUUUCACAUUAAUUUAUCCAUGGAUGCUGAACUUUGCAUCCCUGGAAUAAAUUCCACUUGAUAAUGGAGUAUGAUCCUUUAAAUAUACUCUUAAAUUUGGUUUACUAAUAUUUUUGUUGAGGAUUUUAGCAUCUAUAUUUAUCAGUGAUAUUAGCCUGUAAGUUUCUUUGUUGCAUCUUUGUCUGGUUUUGGUAUCAAGAUAAUAUUGGCCUCACAAAAUGAGUUUGGAAAACAGUCCCUGUCUCUUCUAUUUUUUGGAGGAGUUUGAAAAUGGUUGGUAUUAAUUAUUCUUUAAAUAUUUGGUAGAAUUCACAGUGAAAACAUCUGGUUCUGGACUUUGCUGGGAAAUUGUUUCUUACUAAAAUCUCCAUACUAGUAAUUGGCCUAUUCAGAUUUUCUAUUUCUCCAUGAUUCAGUCUUAAUAGGUUAUAAAUUUUAGGAAAGUAUCCAUUUUUUCCCUGGGCUGUCUAAUUUGUUGUUGUUUAAUUGUUCAGAGUAGUCUCUUACAAUCCCUUGCAUUUGUACAGUAUCAGUACUAAUAUCUCCUCUCUCAUUUAUAAAUUUCAUAUUUGAGUCUUCUAUCUUUUUCUUGGUGAAUCUAGCUAAAAGUUAAUCAUUUUUUUAUUGUUUCAAAAAACUAGCUCUCAGAUUUUUUGAUUUUUCUAUUGUGCUUUACUCCCUAUUUCAUUUAUUUCCACUCUGAUCUUUGUUAUUUUCUUUCUUCUGCUAAUUUAGGGCUUAUAUUGCAUUUUUUUUUCUAGUUCCCUGAAGUGUAAAGUUUUUUUUUUUUAAUUUUAAUAUUCUCUUUUCCCCUUAAUUUAGAUAUUUAACACUACAAACUUCCAUUGUAGAACUACUUUUGAUGAAUCUAAGUUUUGGUAUGUUAUAGUUAUUUUUAAUACUUUUAUCCUUAACCCACUGAGCGAAGCCAGGGAUCGAACCCACAACCUCAUGGUUCCUAGUCGGAUUUGUUAGCUGCUGAGCCACGAUGGGAACUCCCUAGAGCAAUAUUUUAAGUAAAUAAUAGUAUGAACAAUUAAUUAUAAAUUUUAACUGCACUACACACACUAUUUGAAGUGGAGUCAGAAACUUAACUGAAGAGUGUUCAGACAAAUGCCUUUUCAGGCUUCUUCACACCACUUUGUCAGAAGAUGUAGGAGCAGGUCUAGCUAUGUUUCAAUUUAUCAAAGCUCUGGAUGAUUAAACAAAACUAGACCAUUCAAGGAAGAAGAAAUCAGCUAGUAAUUCUAAAACUAAGUUAAUAUUAAGAUCAUAUUUGUCUUGUUAACAUUUUAAAAUUUUAUUAUUAUUAUACUCAACAACUUGGAUUCUUCUGAAGGGAAUUAUAAAGAGUGAAAAAAGGUCAUUCUCACUCAUACUGUAUGUUUCUACUUAUCUAUUUUCCUAGAAAUGAAAAAAAAAAUUAGAGAUUGAGAACAGAUUAGUGAUUACCAGGCGUUAGGGAAGGAGGGAGGCAGGAAGUAGAAGAAUGUCCUAUAUGUGGUAAAUCACACAGAAUUGAACACACACACACACAUAUAUGCACAAAUUAGUGCAAAUAAUCCUGGGGAAAUCUGAAUAAGACCAGUGGAUUACAUCAAUAUCUAUAUCUUGAUUGUCAUAUUACACUACAGUUUUGCAAGAUUUGAUGAAAAUUGGGUAAAGAAUUCAAAGCAUCUCCUUGUAUUACUUCUUGCAAUUAUCUCAAAAUAAAAAGUUCGAUUAAAAAUUACAACAAAAGUUUUAUUAGAUUUAAUUCCAUCAUUUCUCCCCAAAUAUUCCAGGAAAAUGGAAAAAUGACACAUUAUUAUUUUUCACUCUGAAUCUGGCAAACUGUUCCAAUUCUCCUAAUUAUAUAUUUAAAGAAUUAAAUAAAUAAAAAAACAUGCUAGGUGAAGAGUAUUUAAUUUCCUAUUGGAAAAAAUUAAGAAAAAUAGAUCAUUUUAAAGCAUAGAUUUAAUUCUUCUUCAAAUAAUAUACCUUUAAUAUUUUAACUUUAUAUUAACUAAGAAAUGCUUAAAGAGGAAAACAUAUCAUAUAUCUUAUCUUUAACUUUUAGGAUUGGGUCCAUUUUUAUUUGAAUGACAGUCCUCUUUGGGGUAGCAAAAACAUAGCUGAAAUACAUUAGAGUGUAAUUUAUGCAGAACAGACUUGAACCAUGGGAACUCUUGACUACAAAUGGGAUUUUAGUUUUCAAAUAAUUACAAACUAAGGUCGUUCAAUAGUUUAAAACACUUAAUCACUUGCUCUGGUAAUUAAAAUUUCCAAGAGGAAGAAUGUUCAUGGAUCUUUGGUAAAUCACUUUUCAUGGUGACACAAUUUCCUGCACAACCAGCAUAAAAUCAGUUUUGUUUCUUUUUCUCCCCACAUGUGACCUGGAGAUUCUUAUGAUGUAUCUGUAGGAAAUAAUUUAUAGUGACCCUUUCUUGGAACUUUGAUCUUCUGAGCCUUACUGACUUUGAUUCAUAUAUAUUUUUUUCGUCUCUUUAGCGCCACACCCGCGGCAUAUGGAGGUUCCCGGGCUGGGGUCAAACUGGAGCUAUACCCCACAGCCUACACCACAGCCACAACAACAUCAGAUCCAAGCUGUGUCUGCGACCUACACCACAGCUCAAGGUAAUACCAGAUCCUUAACUCACUGAGAGGUCAGUGAUGGAACCUGUAUCCUCGUGGAUGCCAGUCAGAUUCAUUUCCUCUGAGCCACGAUGGGAA
RNAcentral lists this long non-coding RNA (3151 nucleotides) under Sus scrofa (pig). RNAcentral's name for it is "lncRNA (ENSSSCG00025011239.1, ENSSSCG00045011966.1, ENSSSCG00055002973.1, ENSSSCG00065005285.1)". Lineage: Eukaryota; Metazoa; Chordata; Mammalia; Artiodactyla; Suidae. The record is from RNAcentral.